CUACGGGGUGCUGCAGUGAGGAAUAUUGCACAAUGGGGGGAACCCUGAUGCAGCAACGCCGCGUGGAGGAUGACGCAUUUCGGUGUGUAAACUCCUUUUAUAUGUCAAGAAAAUGACGGUAGCAUAUGAAUAAGCACCGGCUAACUCCGUGCCAGCAGCCGCGGUAAUACGGAGGGUGCAAGCGCUACUCGGAAUCACUGGGCGUAAAGGACGCGUAGGCGGGUUGGAAAGUCAGGUGUGAAAUCCUACAGCUUAACUGUAGAACUGCACUUGAAACUUCUAAUCUAGAGUAUGGGAGGGGGAGAUGGAAUUAGUGGUGUAGGGGUAAAAUCCGUAGAUAUCACUAGGAAUACCUAAAGCGAAGGCGAUCUCCUGGAACGUUACUGACGCUAAGGCGUGAAAGCGUGGGGAGCAAACAGGAUUAGAUACCCGCGUAGUC
This 439-nucleotide ribosomal RNA is filed under the name uncultured bacterium. RNAcentral describes it as "partial 16S ribosomal RNA". It matches the Rfam family "Bacterial small subunit ribosomal RNA", at positions 339 to 795 of the family's 1533-position model. The record is from RNAcentral.